This 1467-nucleotide ribosomal RNA is filed under the name Lactiplantibacillus plantarum. RNAcentral describes it as "bacterial SSU rRNA". It matches the Rfam family "Bacterial small subunit ribosomal RNA". The record is from RNAcentral. Lineage: Bacteria; Bacillati; Bacillota; Bacilli; Lactobacillales; Lactobacillaceae.
GCGCGGGGGGCUUAUACUUGCAAGUCGAACGAACUCUGGUAUUGAUUGGUGCUUGCAUCAUGAUUUACAUUUGAGUGAGUGGCGAACUGGUGAGUAACACGUGGGAAACCUGCCCAGAAGCGGGGGAUAACACCUGGAAACAGAUGCUAAUACCGCAUAACAACUUGGACCGCAUGGUCCGAGUUUGAAAGAUGGCUUCGGCUAUCACUUUUGGAUGGUCCCGCGGCGUAUUAGCUAGAUGGUGAGGUAACGGCUCACCAUGGCAAUGAUACGUAGCCGACCUGAGAGGGUAAUCGGCCACAUUGGGACUGAGACACGGCCCAAACUCCUACGGGAGGCAGCAGUAGGGAAUCUUCCACAAUGGACGAAAGUCUGAUGGAGCAACGCCGCGUGAGUGAAGAAGGGUUUCGGCUCGUAAAACUCUGUUGUUAAAGAAGAACAUAUCUGAGAGUAACUGUUCAGGUAUUGACGGUAUUUAACCAGAAAGCCACGGCUAACUACGUGCCAGCAGCCGCGGUAAUACGUAGGUGGCAAGCGUUGUCCGGAUUUAUUGGGCGUAAAGCGAGCGCAGGCGGUUUUUUAAGUCUGAUGUGAAAGCCUUCGGCUCAACCGAAGAAGUGCAUCGGAAACUGGGAAACUUGAGUGCAGAAGAGGACAGUGGAACUCCAUGUGUAGCGGUGAAAUGCGUAGAUAUAUGGAAGAACACCAGUGGCGAAGGCGGCUGUCUGGUCUGUAACUGACGCUGAGGCUCGAAAGUAUGGGUAGCAAACAGGAUUAGAUACCCUGGUAGUCCAUACCGUAAACGAUGAAUGCUAAGUGUUGGAGGGUUUCCGCCCUUCAGUGCUGCAGCUAACGCAUUAAGCAUUCCGCCUGGGGAGUACGGCCGCAAGGCUGAAACUCAAAGGAAUUGACGGGGGCCCGCACAAGCGGUGGAGCAUGUGGUUUAAUUCGAAGCUACGCGAAGAACCUUACCAGGUCUUGACAUACUAUGCAAAUCUAAGAGAUUAGACGUUCCCUUCGGGGACAUGGAUACAGGUGGUGCAUGGUUGUCGUCAGCUCGUGUCGUGAGAUGUUGGGUUAAGUCCCGCAACGAGCGCAACCCUUAUUAUCAGUUGCCAGCAUUAAGUUGGGCACUCUGGUGAGACUGCCGGUGACAAACCGGAGGAAGGUGGGGAUGACGUCAAAUCAUCAUGCCCCUUAUGACCUGGGCUACACACGUGCUACAAUGGAUGGUACAACGAGUUGCGAACUCGCGAGAGUAAGCUAAUCUCUUAAAGCCAUUCUCAGUUCGGAUUGUAGGCUGCAACUCGCCUACAUGAAGUCGGAAUCGCUAGUAAUCGCGGAUCAGCAUGCCGCGGUGAAUACGUUCCCGGGCCUUGUACACACCGCCCGUCACACCAUGAGAGUUUGUAACACCCAAAGUCGGUGGGGUAACCUUUUAGGAACCAGCCGCCUAAAGGGGCAUAG